Long non-coding RNA from Solea senegalensis (Senegalese sole), 854 nucleotides. RefSeq lists it as uncharacterized. NCBI's taxonomy places the organism in Eukaryota, Metazoa, Chordata, Actinopteri, Pleuronectiformes, Soleidae. The transcript is spliced from 3 exons. The record is from RefSeq and is a predicted model, not a curated record.
GUCACCAGUCCAUCACAGGACCACAUGGAGACAAACGACCAUCCACUAUCAUCCUCACCCCUACGGUGCAUUAAUGCUUCAGCUCCUCCAGCUUAGUCUGGCUAGAGUGUUGCCAGCAUCUCUCCUCUCUUCUACCCCAACCUGUCGAGACAGAUGUCCGUACACUCUGACUCUGGUUCUGUUCCUGUUAAAAUCAUUGCCUCUUGGAUGCUCAUCUUAAAAGUACUCAAGAAACAACAAAGCAGAGUGUGGGACCAUUGAACUCUGAGAGAGGAAAACUGUUGAAUCCCUGAGAACUGCUCGUCUUGAUCCGUUGCUCUUGGACUUCUCCCCCUGCACAUCGUUGGAGGGGCUUUGGACCCAUUGACUAAAGCCCAUAUUAAUCUAGCUAAAUACAGGGGGUAUUACUGCAAUGUCAGCAGAGCAGCUCCUCUUGCUCUCCUUUCACAUCUCUCUGCAGGGUGGAUGAAAACUGGGGCUCCUUGGGAAACAGCUGCUGGAGAUUCAUUUCCUUUAUGGAUGAAUCUCCAGGGUGACUUCAUUCACUCUCUGCCUUGUUUCAUUAAACCGUUGCUCAAACAGAGUACACUUGCCUCCUGAAAAUCCCAUUUUAAUGCAUCUGAUGACUUCUGAGCCCGCAAUGAGAACAAGCCACAUAACAGAUAAACCAUACAAAUGAGCUGCCCACCAGAUCAUGCUCUCCCUCCAUACCUGGACCCACAGGCUGUAAUAUAAACUUUAUAUUUGUCUUGAUUGAUUUCAUUCUGUUUUAUUGGCAAUUAAGCAUGAACUUUGCUUUGGUCUUUUGGUGCAGAACAAACACAGUAACAGGAAGUAGUGUACUCACCAGUGUU